RNAcentral lists this ribosomal RNA (253 nucleotides) under uncultured Lachnospiraceae bacterium. Its description in RNAcentral is "partial 16S ribosomal RNA". It matches the Rfam family "Bacterial small subunit ribosomal RNA", at positions 524 to 776 of the family's 1533-position model. Lineage: Bacteria; Bacillati; Bacillota; Clostridia; Lachnospirales; Lachnospiraceae. The record is from RNAcentral.
UACGUAGGGGGCAAGCGUUAUCCGGAUUUACUGGGUGUAAAGGGAGCGCAGGUGGUUCGGUAAGUCAGGUGUGAAAGCCCGGGGCUCAACCCCGGGAUUGCACUUGAAACUAUCGGACUUGAGUGCAGGAGAGGUAAGUGGAAUUCCUAGUGUAGCGGUGAAAUGUGUAGAUAUUAGGAGGAACACCAGUGGCGAAGGCGGCUUACUGGACUGUAACUGACACUGAGGCUCGAAAGCGUGGGGAGCAAACAGG